Long non-coding RNA from Brienomyrus brachyistius, 127 nucleotides. RefSeq lists it as uncharacterized. The record is from RefSeq and is a predicted model, not a curated record. Lineage: Eukaryota; Metazoa; Chordata; Actinopteri; Osteoglossiformes; Mormyridae. The transcript is spliced from 3 exons.
GAUUUUGUAACAAGGAGCUUCACUUCAACACCUAAUACAACAGUUGGUUCUGUAACAAGCAACUUCACUUCAGCACCGAAUACAACAGCUGAAAGCAGCACCACAUCAACACCUAAUACCACGGCUG